Molecule: ribosomal RNA, 469 nt
Filed under: uncultured bacterium
Lineage: Bacteria
Description: partial 16S ribosomal RNA
Rfam family: Bacterial small subunit ribosomal RNA
Source: RNAcentral
GACGAACGCUGGCGGCGUGCUUAACACAUGCAAGUCGAACGGAAAGGCCCUGCUUGCAGGGUGCUCGAGUGGCGAACGGGUGAGUAACACGUGGGUGAUCUGCCCCUUACUUUGGGAUAAGCCUGGGAAACUGGGUCUAAUACUGGAUAGGACCAUGCUGUAGGUGGUGUGGUGGAAAGAUUAGUUUCGGUAAGGGAUGAGCUCGCGGCCUAUCAGCUUGUUGGUGGGGUAAUGGCCUACCAAGGCGUCGACGGGUAGCCGGCCUGAGAGGGUGGACGGCCACAUUGGGACUGAGAUACGGCCCAGACUCCUACGGGAGGCAGCAGUGGGGAAUAUUGCACAAUGGGCGAAAGCCUGAUGCAGCGACGCCGCGUGGGGGAUGACGGCCUUCGGGUUGUAAACUCCUUUCAGCCAUGACGAAGCCCUUGUGGUGACGGUAGUGGUAGAAGAAGCACCGGCUAACUACGUG